RNAcentral lists this non-coding RNA (29 nucleotides) under Rattus norvegicus (Norway rat). The record is from RNAcentral. Lineage: Eukaryota; Metazoa; Chordata; Mammalia; Rodentia; Muridae.
UGCUACUUACAGUGGCUGAAAACUGCAAC